UGGCCGUUUUGUAGGCGUCCACAGCUUC
Molecule: small RNA, 28 nt
Filed under: Bombyx mori (domestic silkworm)
Lineage: Eukaryota; Metazoa; Arthropoda; Insecta; Lepidoptera; Bombycidae
Description: ovarian small RNA-34842
Source: RNAcentral